RNAcentral lists this unclassified non-coding RNA (647 nucleotides) under uncultured Prochlorococcus sp. RNAcentral's name for it is "partial 16S-23S ribosomal RNA intergenic spacer; may also contain 16S ribosomal RNA and 23S ribosomal RNA". The stretch from base 305 to 377 matches the Rfam family "tRNA". Lineage: Bacteria; Bacillati; Cyanobacteriota; Cyanophyceae; Synechococcales; Prochlorococcaceae. The record is from RNAcentral.
UUGUGGAGGAGGACGCCGAAGGUGGGGCUAAUGACUGGGGUGAAGUCGUAACAAGGUAGCCGUACCGGAAGGUGCGGCUGGAUCACCUCCUAACAGGGAGACAACAAAAUGUUUAAUAUUAUUAUUUUGUCACCUUAGGUCGAUCGGUAUCUCACGUUUUUAAUUUAUUAAGAAUUUCAUUUCCUAAGUUUUUCUAGGUCACACCCAUUAUUUUUCCUGGGCCAUUAGCUCAGGUGGUUAGAGCGCACCCCUGAUAAGGGUGAGGUCCCUGGUUCAAGUCCAGGAUGGCCCAUAUCUCUAUGUUGGGGGUAUAGCUCAGUUGGUAGAGCGCCUGCUUUGCAAGCAGGAUGUCAGCGGUUCGAGUCCGCUUACCUCCACUGAUUACCACCUCUUCCAUAACCGGUAGAAAGGAAAUGUUUUGAGUUGUGAUCAAAUUCUGAAAGAAUCUAGCUUCCUAAUGAAAUCAUUAAGAUGCUGGACUCAUUGAAUUAAUUUCAUUGUUUUCAGAGAACCUUGACAACUGCAUAGAUUAUUUUUAAAGACAAUAGGCAUCUUUAAUGAUGCAGAUUUAUUAUUUGUGCGAAUGCAUUAAUAACAAUUCUAUUAAGCUGAUGCUUCAAUUUUUGAAGUUAUUGGUCAAGCUACAA